RNAcentral lists this ribosomal RNA (497 nucleotides) under uncultured bacterium. RNAcentral's name for it is "partial 16S ribosomal RNA". It matches the Rfam family "Bacterial small subunit ribosomal RNA", at positions 28 to 507 of the family's 1533-position model. The record is from RNAcentral.
GAUGAACGCUGGCGGCGUGCCUAAUACAUGCAAGUCGAGCGAACGGACGAGGAGCUUGCUCCUCUGACGUUAGCGGCGGACGGGUGAGUAACACGUGGAUAACCUACCUAUAAGACUGGGAUAACUUCGGGAAACCGGAGCUAAUACCGGAUAAUAUAUUGAACCGCAUGGUUCAAUAGUGAAAGACGGUUUUGCUGUCACUUAUAGAUGGAUCCGCGCCGCAUUAGCUAGUUGGUAAGGUAACGGCUUACCAAGGCAACGAUGCGUAGCCGACCCGAGAGGGUGAUCGGCCACACUGGAACUGAGACACGGUCCAGACUCCUACGGGAGGCAGCAGUAGGGAAUCUUCCGCAAUGGGCGAAAGCCUGACGGAGCAACGCCGCGUGAGUGAUGAAGGUCUUCGGAUCGUAAAACUCUGUUAUUAGGGAAGAACAAAUGUGUAAGUAACUAUGCACGUCUUGACGGUACCUAAUCAGAAAGCCACGGCUAACUACGUG